This is a long non-coding RNA of Pomacea canaliculata, 955 nucleotides long. RefSeq lists it as uncharacterized. The record is from RefSeq and is a predicted model, not a curated record. The transcript is spliced from 3 exons. NCBI's taxonomy places the organism in Eukaryota, Metazoa, Mollusca, Gastropoda, Architaenioglossa, Ampullariidae.
UCGACAAGACCGAUGGCCGACGGGAAGACAGGAUUUCCGGCCCACGACGUUGAGCGACGUGACGUCAGCAGUGGGGAGGUGCCCGGGAACGAGGCUGGAGACAACCACGAGUUCAUCGUGCGCCUUCGGGACGACCGCCCUCCGAGGUCACUGAGAGGAGACGCCAUCUCCCCGCGUAAGGCUCCAAAGUCUUCUUGACUGGACUUUGUGCUCUAAAGGCGCUGAGAAAAACGACAAAACUUUUUUUGAACAUGUUCGUGCUACACCUUUGAUCCCUUCACUGUUAGAAUGUGACAUAGACUGCUACCACACACGCGCAUUAUCCAACACGUUCUCCAUGCAAAAGCCCAGAGAGGAGGACAAUAAUAUCACCACCACAUUGACAGGAAUAAGCAUCACUUCCCUUAAGAAAUAUUUCUUUGGGUGUUUUUUUUUUUUUUCCAAAACUUUGUACUUCUCGCUGUAAGUAGCAGUGUAUUUAAGUAGGAAAUAGCCUCGAGUUCUAGAAAAGUAAUACUUCAGCUCUUCUAAAAGGCUAUGUACCCUAUGUAUUCUAAAUAUCUAUGUACACUCUUCCUUAAGUUACUGUGUACCGUGUCUAACAUUACCUGGUGGUACUGAGCAGCAAUCACAGAGGAGGAGGAGAAGAGGAGGAAAAAGAAAAAGAUUUAUUACGAAAAUGCUGAGCCCCAUGAAUCACCAGAAAAAGUUCAACUGGCAGCAGCACCUCCAUCAGCGAGCGAACAACAGUCAGGGACACAUUUGUACAUCGAUGUUGCUGCUGUCACAGACUACGGAGUCUUCUUAAACUGGUACGGUAACAGUUCCGGAAUCACGGAAGAAGAGAAAACACAGGAUGUCUUGGACAAGUUGCCUGAGUACUACGCCUUCAUGUUCUCCGGGGUGAAUAUGCUGUAUGAGGGCAUCAACAGCUCUUUGUUGUCCUACACCCUGC